This 429-nucleotide ribosomal RNA is filed under the name uncultured bacterium. RNAcentral's name for it is "bacterial SSU rRNA". It matches the Rfam family "Bacterial small subunit ribosomal RNA", at positions 355 to 776 of the family's 1533-position model. The record is from RNAcentral.
UGGGGAAUUUUGGACAAUGGGCGCAAGCCUGAUCCAGCCAUGCCGCGUGAGUGAAGAAGGCCUUCGGGUUGUAAAGCUCUUUCGGUGGGGAAGAAAUUGCUUCGAAUAAUACUCGGAGUAGAUGACGGUACCCGCAUAAGAAGCACCGGCUAACUACGUGCCAGCAGCCGCGGUAAUACGUAGGGUGCGAGCGUUAAUCGGAAUCAUUGGGCGUAAAGGGUGUGUAGGCGGAAUGGUAAGUCAGGUGUGAAAGCCUUGGGCUCAACCCAAGAAGGGCAUUUGAUACUGUCAUUCUAGAAUUCAGGAGAGGAAGAUGGAAUUCCCGGUGUAGAGGUGAAAUCCGUAGAUAUCAGGAGGAACACCGGUGGCGAAGGCGACUUCCUGGCCCUAUACUGACGCUGAGACGCGAGAGCGUGGGGAGCAAACAGG